This 255-nucleotide unclassified non-coding RNA is filed under the name Hevea brasiliensis (rubber tree). The record is from RNAcentral. Lineage: Eukaryota; Viridiplantae; Streptophyta; Magnoliopsida; Malpighiales; Euphorbiaceae.
UCCUCAAGUUGCCUUCCUUGGAACCCUCUUCCUAGACAAUCAUCUACUCUGCUGCUGAAAUUGAACACAUCUAGGAGAACAGAGCCAUGGAACCAUGGAUCCUUCAUCCAAUAGCCAAAUUUGUAGGAGCACACAAAACCCUCUCUAGAUUACGCACCCCGCACACCAAAAACAAACUAAAAAACUAACUAUAACCUUACCCAGAGAUGAGGAGGAAAGCCCGUACCCAUGGGGGGGAGAAGGAAGCCUUACCUG